RNAcentral lists this ribosomal RNA (561 nucleotides) under uncultured Tomentella. RNAcentral describes it as "eukaryotic LSU rRNA". The stretch from base 152 to 306 matches the Rfam family "5.8S ribosomal RNA". The record is from RNAcentral. Lineage: Eukaryota; Fungi; Basidiomycota; Agaricomycetes; Thelephorales; Thelephoraceae.
ACGCUCUGUUUGUGCAUCCACUCAACACCUGUGCACCUUCUGUAGUUCUGUGGCCUGGGGGACUCGUCCUCCUGCUGCGGUUCUGCGUCUUUACACUCACGCUGUGACAAAGUCUGAUGGAAUGCAUGUCGCGUUUAAUGCAAUACAAUACAACUUUCAGCAACGGAUCUCUUGGCUCUCGCAUCGAUGAAGAACGCAGCAAAAUGCGAUAAGUAAUGUGAAUUGCAGAAUUCAGUGAAUCAUCGAAUCUUUGAACGCACCUUGCGCCCUUUGGCUAUUCCGAAGGGCAUGCCUGUUUGAGUAUCAUGAACAUCUCAACUCCUCACGGUUCGCCCGUGAUGAGCUUGGACUUUGGGGGUCUUGCCGGCCUGCAGGUCGGCUCCUCUCAAAUGAAUCAGCUUGCCGGUGUUUGGCGGCGUCACAGGUGUGAUAACUAUCUACGCUUGUGGUUUUCCGCCAGGUAACCUCCAGCGAUGGGGGUUCGCUGGAGCUCACAAAUGUCUCUCCUCGGCGAGGACAGGUCUUUGAACGUUUGAUCUCAAAUCAGGUAGGACUACCCGC